This 215-nucleotide long non-coding RNA is filed under the name Elaeis guineensis (African oil palm). RNAcentral's name for it is "long non-coding RNA (EGUI_LNC038068)". Lineage: Eukaryota; Viridiplantae; Streptophyta; Magnoliopsida; Arecales; Arecaceae. The record is from RNAcentral.
CAGAGCCAUGUGUGCCUCCUCAGAGCCCAAAGAGGAGGUGACUCACCAGAGUCAUCUCAGGACCCAACAGACAGCCAGGUGGUGAUCUCUUAGUCCGCAAUCAAGGCAUGAUUCAACCUUCGGUUGCCAUUCUCCUCAGUAUUUCGAGACUUGCACCGUUCGAGAUCUUGCCAUCUAAAGACGGUUCCAGACACUCGACGAGAGGAUAGAUAAGA